Molecule: small nuclear RNA, 25 nt
Filed under: Arabidopsis thaliana (thale cress)
Lineage: Eukaryota; Viridiplantae; Streptophyta; Magnoliopsida; Brassicales; Brassicaceae
Description: snRNA_05524
Source: RNAcentral
GAACCGUGAAAGCGUGGCCUAUCGA